CUGGCCCAGGGAAGCAGCUCCUCACCACUGUAACUUCUGGUUUGUAGCUGUGUAAACCGAGACAGGAUAUAGAUACAUCCUGUCUGAGUUAACAGCAAGAAAUAGGGCCUCACAGUGGGGUUCCUGCCAUAAAUCAGAACCCAUCUGAGAGUAAUCUAGAAUGGUAUGCAAGUCAGGGCUGCAUCCCCAUCAGCCCCGGAGGGAGGGAAGUGUCUGAAACAGGAACCCUGGAGAACUUUGAAGAGUGGGGGUGGAGUGAGCUGUCCUCUUCAGGCACUGAGGUUGCAGCCUGCACUUUCUCAGUGACUGUGCUGAAGUGAUCACAGUGGCUUCAGUCUUCUGUCUCCUUGACCCAGGCCCUGCACCCAGGAGGAAGUCACAGGUUCAAGGCUUACUUAAGAAGAAAGGGAUCCUGCAAAGAGUAUUUAAAGACACACUUUCACUGUCUGCUGAUGGCUGUUGACCACUGGGAGACUCCUGCCACUCUUAUCUUUGUAUGUAGCAAG
Molecule: long non-coding RNA, 506 nt
Organism: Heterocephalus glaber (naked mole-rat)
Lineage: Eukaryota; Metazoa; Chordata; Mammalia; Rodentia; Bathyergidae
Source: Ensembl